GCGGACGUGGCGAAAUUGGUAGACGCACGGGACUUAAAAUCCCUCGCCCAUUGGGUGUGCGGGUUCGAGUCCCGCCGUCCGCACCA
This 86-nucleotide transfer RNA is filed under the name Sphingomonas sp. RNAcentral's name for it is "tRNA-Leu". It matches the Rfam family "tRNA". Rfam says of the family: Transfer RNA (tRNA) molecules are approximately 80 nucleotides in length. Their secondary structure includes four short double-helical elements and three loops (D, anti-codon, and T loops). Further hydrogen bonds mediate the characteristic L-shaped molecular structure. tRNAs have two regions of fundamental functional importance: the anti-codon, which is responsible for specific mRNA codon recognition, and the 3' end, to which the tRNAs corresponding amino acid is attached (by aminoacyl-tRNA synthetases). tRNAs cope with the degeneracy of the genetic code in two manners: having more than one tRNA (with a specific anti-codon) for a particular amino acid; and 'wobble' base-pairing, i.e. permitting non-standard base-pairing at the 3rd anti-codon position. Lineage: Bacteria; Pseudomonadati; Pseudomonadota; Alphaproteobacteria; Sphingomonadales; Sphingomonadaceae. The record is from RNAcentral. RNAcentral also lists the same sequence under 2 other names.